AUGGCUCAGGAUGAACGCUAGCUACAAGGCUUAACACAUGCAAGUCGAGGGGUAGCAGGGUAGCAAUACCGCUGACGACCGGCGCACGGGUGAGUAACACGUAUCCAACCUUCCCAUAACUCAGGGAUAGCCUUUCGAAAGAAAGAUUAAUACCUGAUAGUACUUUUUCAAGGCAUCUUGAGAAAGUUAAAGAUUUAUUGGUUAUGGAUGGGGAUGCGUUCCAUUAGAUAGUUGGUGAGGUAACGGCUCACCAAGUCUUCGAUGGAUAGGGGUUCUGAGAGGAAGGUCCCCCACAUUGGUACUGAGACACGGACCAAACUCCUACGGGAGGCAGCAGUGAGGAAUAUUGGUCAAUGGGCGAGAGCCUGAACCAGCCAAGUAGCGUGAAGGAAUGAAGGUCCUAUGGAUUGUAAACUUCUUUUAUAGUAGAAUAAAGUGAUCCACGUGUGGAUUUUUGUAUGUAUACUAUGAAUAAGGAUCGGCUAACUCCGUGCCAGCCGCCGC
RNAcentral lists this ribosomal RNA (504 nucleotides) under uncultured bacterium. RNAcentral's name for it is "bacterial SSU rRNA". It matches the Rfam family "Bacterial small subunit ribosomal RNA", at positions 19 to 518 of the family's 1533-position model. The record is from RNAcentral.